GACGAACGCUGGCGGCGUGCUUAACACAUGCAAGUCGAACGGUGAAGGGAUCAGCUUGCUGGUUCUGGAUGAGUGGCGAACGGGUGAGUAACACGUGAGUAACCUGCCCCCUUCUUCUGGAUAACCGCAUGAAAGUGUGGCUAAUACGGGAUAUUCUGGGUCUGUCGCAUGAUGGGUCUGGGAAAGAUAUUGUUUCGGUGGGGGAUGGGCUCGCGGCCUAUCAGCUUGUUGGUGGGGUGAUGGCCUACCAAGGCGGUGACGGGUAGCCGGCCUGAGAGGGUGGACGGUCACACGGGGACUGAGACACGGCCCAGACUCCUACGGGAGGCAGCAGUGGGGAAUAUUGCACAAUGGGCGCAAGCCUGAUGCAGCGACGCCGCGUGAGGGAUGGAGGCCUUCGGGUUGUAAACCUCUUUCGCCAGUGAAGCAGGCCUGCUCCGUGUGGGUGGGUUGACGGUAGCUGGAUAAGAAGCGCCGGCUAACUACGUG
This 489-nucleotide ribosomal RNA is filed under the name uncultured bacterium. RNAcentral describes it as "partial 16S ribosomal RNA". It matches the Rfam family "Bacterial small subunit ribosomal RNA", at positions 28 to 507 of the family's 1533-position model. The record is from RNAcentral.